UUGUUCGCUCUCCUCCUCACGGCCUCUUUGUCAAAAGAUCUCUGUCACAAAGAUGACGAAAACGCCCUCCUCAAGAUCAAGAAGUCCCUUAACAACCCUUACACCAUCAUUUCCUGGGACCCCAAAGACGACUGCUGCACCUGGGUCUCCGUUGAGUGCGGCGACGCAACUGUUGAUCACCGCGUCAUCUCCCUAGACAUAUCAAACGACGAUGUCUCCGCUCAGAUCCCUCCUGAAGUCGGCGACUUAUCGUAUCUACAAACCCUCAUAUUCCGCAAACUCCCUAACCUCACCGGUGAAAUCAAACCUACCAUCGCCAAGCUCAAGUAUCUUCGUUUUCUCUGGCUCAGCUGGACCAACCUGACCGGUCCGGUUCCUGAAUUUUUGAGUCAGCUCAAGGAUCUAGAGUACAUUAACCUUUCCUUCAAUGACCUCUCUGGUUCCAUACCCGGUUCUCUCUCUUUGUUACCUAAACUCGGGAUUCUUGAACUAAGCAGGAACAAACUUACAGGUGAUCGAUCACUCACUCUCUUUGUCUAUCUUGGCAAGGCCGGUUUGGAGCUUAGAUAAAACAUUCGCCUUGGUCUUUAAAAAUUUUAAGUGAUAUUAUACAUAGAUUGCAUGGCCCCAUAUUAAUUUUUAAAAAAUUGUUAAGAUUAAUUUAAAAAUGUGUACCGUCUCAUAUCUUGGCUAUUAGUCAUUAUUAAUCUAACCUAUACUGUACACUAAUUGUUAGGUUCAAUACAUAUAUUGCAUGGCCUCAUAUUAUUAAAAAAAAUUGUUAAGAUUAAUUUUAAAAUGUUUAUUGUCGCAUAUUUUAUCUAUUAGUCAUUAUUAAUCUAACUUAUACUUUAAAAUUCUUGUUAGGUUCAAUACCAGAGUCAUUUGGAGCGUUUAAAGGAGUGGUACCUCCUGAGCUUUUUCUAUCGCACAACCAGCUAUCCGGUUCGAUACCAAAAUCACUAGGAAACCUCGAUUUUCACCGGAUCGAUUUCUCCCAUAACAAGCUUGAAGGUGAUGCUUCGAUGAUGUUUGGAGCCAAAAAGACGUCAUGGUCCGUUGAUUUAUCAAGAAACAAGCUCCAGUUUGAUAUUUCCAAGGUUAAAGUGGCUACAACAGUUAAUAACUUAGACUUGAAUCACAAUAAGAUCACAGGGAGUAUCCCGGUUCAAUGGACCGAGCUUACUCUUCAGUCUUUCAAUGUAAGUUAUAACCGACUUUGUGGACGAAUACCCCAGGGAGGGGACCUUCAGAUAUUUGAUGCUUAUGCAUAUGUACACAACAAGUGCUUGUGUGGUGCACCUCUUCAGAGUUGCAACGUGGAGAUUCAAGCAACCGAUCUUUAUCUAAAUUUACCAUCAGAAUAAAUCAUGUAUAAGGACAUCUGUAUGUUAUAUUCGGAAUGAUUAAUAAAAAUGAAUAAAUUGUAUUUGAUGAAUUCACUGCACAUUUUCAAAAUGUAUUAGAUCCAUCCGCGAGCAACGACUAUGGUUGGCCAUGGAGAUUGAAACAAUUACGGAUUUGAAACUCUGAUACCCCAGCAUAGAGCCAUGAGAUAACAUAUGAUAUACCAAAUUGAUCAUUCUACCCUGACUCAGUAGCAAGUAGAUACAUGACCAUAUCUUAUACACAAACCACAAGCGAGAAAAUAUAAAUCAAUAUGCAAACUAAUGAGGAGUAAGCAACCAACCAUUUCACAUUCGUUUCUGAAAGUACAAGGCUAACUUAAGAAUGUAAUCGUGGAAAACAUAUAAUAUAUUAGUAUAAUUUUAUCAUUAUUUUAGUAAAUUAUGUUAGGUUUGGUUGAACCGGAAUUUGAUCAAUAAAAUUACAAAUUGCCAACGUUUGGUUAAGCAAACAAGCCGCGAAGAAAACAUGUGUCGUCGAUCGCACGGAAGCAACCCGAAGGCAUCAGAGGAUUUGUCUUCUCUUCCUCUGUUUUUCCCUGUUUUUUUUUUGUGUUUCAUUGUUACUCAAAAUCAUUCAACUGAACUGAAUAACUAACAGAAUAAAAUAUAAGAUAUUAUUGAGUUUUUUUGUUCUAUAAUGUGGAGUUUUUGUAAUAUUUCCGCAUCUUUAUUUUGAACUGAGAAUUACAACAGGAUGCUAAUAUAGCGCCACCUUCUCUUGUGUCUUGAUAUAAACAACAAAUAAUUUCAAAAUUUCUGUAAAUAAUAACCCAAGAAUUUGAAGUUAGAAAGAAGCAUGUGUUACAACAACAACAACAACAGGAUCCAAAUCAAGCUCCUCUUGUGUCAAAGCCUCAAACAUCGGAUGUUUCUCUAAGCAAGACUUCAUCUACUCACCAAUCUCCUCAACAUCAGUGAUCGUGUAAACAAUCCCACCACCUCUAAGAACGUAAGCAUACUCAUCAAGCAAAUCAACGCUGAUCACUCUCCCCCUGUGAUUCUUCUCCUUGACAUGCGGAUUGGGAAAGAGGAAAAACAUCUUCGAAAGCUGUCCUUUCUCAAAGUAGUUAGGAACGUACUUCAUUGAGUUUGUCCUAACGACAUAGGCGCUCUCAUACUCUCCCUCAGGGCUAAGAUCCGUUCCUUGACGUAUUCAGUGACUUUAUCUCUCAGCUCCAUACCGAUCAUUAGAGUAUCGGGAAAGAGUGUGUAAAGGGAGAUGAGAAGGCCACCUUAGCCGCAUCCGAUAUCUGCGAACUCAAUCUUCUUGGAGGUUUUGGUGUUAGCUUUGGGGAAGUGAAGUGAAAGUGCGACGUGAGAUGGAGAGAUGGGAAUGGGGAAGUGAGAAUCGCUGAGUGGGUUGCUAUGAGCUCUUUCUCUGUAGAAUCUCUUCCGGGGAAGGCCUGUGGACUUGCUGAAAGUUGGUUUCGUUUCGCUGUCGCUAUCGUCUGUUUACACUUAUAACGGUAAUAACUAACUCCAAGGUUGGAUUGGACCUUUCACUUUUGGGCCUUAUUUUCAAAUUGCGAACUCCUCUGCAUUAUUCUCAUUUUGGGCUUUUUCUUUUGAAGGCCCAGUCACUUUCUCGACUCAAAUGUCUCUUCCGGUUUAGGAGUCCAGUCAAUUGAACCAGACCGGAAAUCGAUCCGUGAGUUUCACACGCACCGUCGGUUAGCAAUCAAAAUACUUUAUUUUAAAAGUCACACACCAGAACUUAUUUAACACGUGGUCUAUUCAGCAAAAGUAAUAACUAAAACCAUACCCUACCAUGUUUCCCACUCACUGCGUUACUCUCGUUAGCCUAUAUAAAUCAUCACAAGUUUCCAGUUGAGCUCAAACACAAACACAACAACACACUAUGGGUAAGACAACGAUACUGCUCUUGCUCUUGUUCGCUCUCCUCCUCACCACAUCUUUAUCCAAAGACCUCUGUCACAAAGAUGACAAAAACACCCUCCUCAAGAUCAAGAAAGCCAUGAACGACCCUUACACCAUCAUCUCCUGGGACCCCAAGGACGACUGCUGCACCUGGUACUCCGUUGAGUGCGGCAACGCAAACCGCGUCACCUCUCUAGACUUAUCAGACGACGACGUCUCCGCUCAGAUCCCUCCUGAAGUCGGCGACUUGCCUUAUCUACAAUACCUCACGUUCCGCAAACUCCCUAACCUCACCGGUGAAAUCCCACCCACCAUCGCCAAGCUCAAGUAUCUCAAAUCUCUCUGGCUCAGCUGGAACAGCCUGACCGGCCCGGUUCCUGAAUUUCUGAGCCAGCUCAAGAACCUAGAGUACAUUAACCUUUCUUUCAAUAAACUCUCUGGCUCCAUACCCGGUUCUCUCUCUUUGUUACCUAAACUAGAUUUUCUUGAACUAAGCAGGAACAAGCUUACAGGUAAUCACUCAUUCUCUUUGUCUCCAUUAGUCUUUUAUUAACAAGCUGUAAUUUUAAAAAUCUCAUUUAUCAAAAUAUACAAUUAGGUCCCAUACCAGAGUCAUUUGGAUCAUUUAAAAGAGCAGUAUAUGGGAUUUACCUAUCGCACAACCAGCUGUCCGGUUCUAUACCAAAAUCACUAGGCAACAUCGACUUUAACACCAUUGAUCUUUCCCGGAACAAGCUUGAAGGUGAUGCGUCCAUGUUGUUUGGAGUAAAAAAGACGACAUGGCACAUUGACUUAUCUAGAAACAUGUUCCAGUUCGAUAUCUCCAAGGUUAAGGUCGCUAAGACAGUUAAUUUCUUGGACUUGAAUCACAACGGGCUCACAGGGAGUAUCCCGGAUCAAUGGACCCAACUUGAUCUUCAGACUUUCAACGUUAGCUAUAACAGACUGUGUGGACGCAUCCCUCAGGGAGGUGACCUUCAGAGUUUUGAUGCUUAUGCCUAUUUACACAACAAGUGCUUGUGUGGUGCACCUCUUCCGAGUUGCAACGUGAAGAUUCAGGCAACCGAUCUUUAUCUAAACUUACCAUCAGAAUAAAUCAUGUAUAAGGACACCUGUAUGUUCCUUUCGGAAUAAAAAUGAAUCAUAUUUCAUUUGAUAAGAUUUAGCCCGUUUUUAGAAUGUACUAAUAUGAUUGAUCGUCUAGCAACGUUGAGUAGGACACCACAUGAACAGAUCGAAACCAUUAUUGGUGAUUGUUUUUUUUACGAGUUAAACAAAUCGAGUGACAUUGAAUCUUUCCCAUUAACUGUUUAUAAAAAUGAUAGAUGCAAAAACAUUCUGCUUUCCCAUCUAUGUUCCGCAGAUGAUCUGUUGGUUUUCACUGAUGGCACGAAAAGGUCUAUUGAAGCAGUGCUCAGGAUAUUCAAGGUGUUUGAAAGCUGUUCUGGUUUAAGGAUAAGUUUGGAAAAAUCCACUCUAUACACUGCGGGCAUAAGUGACAAUAUAAAGGAAGACAUUCUUGCAUCUUUUCCUUUCUCAACGGGUAGCCUACCGGUUAGAUACUUGGGAUUACCUCUCCUUACUAAGCGCAUGACAGUGAAUGACUAUCUGCCCCUUGUAGAGAAAGUGCGAAAGAAAAUGAGCUCAUGGACAGGAAGACUUCUUUCGCGUGCGGGACGCUUGCAACUUCUAAAGUCUGUCAUAACAAGCUUAGCUAACUUCUGGAUGGCAGCUUUCAGGCUUCCCCGUAGCUGCCUAAAAGAGAUUGAAAGGCUUUGCUCGGCUUAUCUUUGGUCUGGUCCUGAUCUCAAAACAACAAAAGCGAAGGUUAGCUGGCAAGACAUCUGUUACCCAAAAGAAGAAGGUGGAUUGGGGCUUAGACCUUUGAAGGAACUAAAUAAAGUGUAUGGGCUGAAGCUCAUAUGGAGGCUACUGGCAGAGACGUCGUUAUGGGUCCGUUGGGUCCAAUGCUAUUUGGUUCGCAAAGGUUCAUUCUGGUCUAUCAAAGAAAAUACUAGUUCGGGAUCAUGGGUCUGGAGGAAGUUACUGAAACUGAGAGGUCUUGCAAAACAGUAUAUAAAGAAGGAAGUGAGAAAUGGAGAGAAUACAUCUUUUUGGUAUGAUAGCUGGUCAAGAUUUGAUAUUUUAAAAGACAUGCUUGGAGAACGAGGUUCGCUUGAUUUGGGAGUUCCUGACCACUAUUCUGUUGCGGAAGUAAAAAGAAGUAGAAUGAGGAGUAGUAGGAGAAGAAACCAUAGAGUGGAUAUCCUAAAUCAGAUAGAAGAAGUGAUAAGUAGGCUUGAAAAUGGCAAUGAGGAGGACAUUGUAUUAUGGAAGCAUGCAGAAGGUAAAUUCAGAACCAACUUCUCGACAAGCAAAACUUGGGAUCAGAUUCGAAAUGUGAAGCCCAUAUGCACAUGGCAUAAGGGAGUCUGGUUUCCUCAAUCAACUCCGAAGUAUGCUUUUACUAUGUGGGUAGCUAUCAAAGGAAGAUUGCAGACAACAGACAGAAUGCAGCAGUGGAAUAGCUCCAUUAACACAACGUGUGUGCUCUGUAAUGAUGUGCCAGAGUCUUGUGCUCAUCUUUUCUUUGGCUGUCGUUACUCCGAGAGGAUUUGGAGAAAGCUUGCGGAGGGUCUGAUGAGAGAUGCUUUCACUGUGGACUGGAGUGAGUUGAUAUCUAUAGUCUCGAAAUCAUGGGUAACACCUAUCAAGACAUUCAUACUCCGAUAUGUAUUGCAAGCCACAGUUUACACAAUUUGGUGGGAGAGAAAUGCGCGCAGGCAUGGGGAGAAGCCUAGAGAUAUCAAUGGGUUAAUUAAGCUUGUGGACAAGUAUAUGAGGUUGAAACUUUUAUCACUAAAGGGAAGAGGAGAUUACUAUGAAGAAGGUCUGGUAACAUGGUUUGGUGUUCAGCCUAGCUCAUGAUUGCUAUAGACAGAUAUUUGAAGUUGUUUUGAUGGCCGCAUGGUUGGAUGCAAGGUGAGAAGGUUGCUAUGAAAUGUAGUGGUCUAGUAGGAGUGAGUGUUAGACAUCCAGUAGGAGUGAGUGCUGGAUAACCAGUAGGAGUGAGAGCUGGCUACCUAGUAGGAGUGAGAGCUAGGUAGAUUGAAAGAAGGUGAAUAUAGGGAUGAGUAAAGCUGAUGACUUGCAGGAAAAGUUUCUAUCUUUCUACUUGGGUUUUAACUAAUCUUGUAUAGAAAGUUUAAGAAAGGACACACAUAGUUGUAAAAAAGAUAUUUUCUUUUGAAUUCAAUUUAACAUUAAUUCAAAAAAAAAAAAAAAAUGAUAGAGCUAAACUUUUUGUUAUGUGAAUAAAGUUUUGAUUGGUACAGAAAUGUUUAGAGCAUUUUAGUUUUUUUUUUUUACAUUAUCUCUUCCAAAUCCCUUUUUUUUUGUAUAAAACGUACAUUUCUUUUAACAAUGUAGGGCUAAAAAUGAUUUUACGGACCGGAAAAUAGAAGCCCAAAUGAUAAAGAGUUUCCAUAUAUAAAUACUAGCCCAGGUUUUUUUUGAUGGUUUAGGGUUUCGAAGUUUUCGGUUUUCUUUAAGGUCACGGCACUUACCGCAGCAGAGCUGUUUCUUCACUGGCACGGUACAGUGUUUCUAAUUUCUAAUGCCAUAUUUACUAGCAAAGUAAAUCUAAGUUAUGUUACACAAAUCGAGUGAUCAGAACCACACCAAUUAAAUGUUCAUAAAAUGCUUGUUCGAUCCUCUGUUUUAAGAACGGAGAAGAAGCCAGACAAAGACUUAUCGAGUUAUCCUCUGUUUUUCACUUAUAAGCUAACUCAAAGGUUGGACCUCUAAACAUUUCAGGGCUCGUUUUCAAAUUGCUGACUCCAGUGCAUAAUUCUGUUUUGAGCUUUACUUUUGAAGGCUCGGUCCCUUUAUCGACUCAAAUGUCUCUUCCGGUUUAGCAAUCCAGUCAACUGAACCAGACCGGAGAUUAAUCCAUGAGUUCACACACACCGUCGGUAACCAAUCAAAAUACUUUGUUUUAAAUUUAAAAGUGGGAUAUUUUAAAGAUAUCACCGGAACUUGUUUAACAUGUAAAAGUCAGCAAAAGUAAAACGCGUACACUACCAUUUAAUUGCCUGACUUGCGUUAGCCUAUAUAUAUGAUCACAAGUUUUCAAUUUAAGCUCAAACGUAAAUACAACACUCUAUGGAUAAGACAACGACACUGCUCUUGCUCUUGUUCGCUCUCCUCCUCACGACAUCUUUAUCCAAAGACCUCUGUCACAAAGAUGACCUCUCCGGUUCGAUACCCGGUUCACUCUCUUUAUUACCUAAACUCGAGAUUCUUGACCUCAGCAGGAACAAGCUUACAGGUGAAUUACUACUCUCUCUGUCUCUAUAAGUCAUCAAUUAACCUGAGUAACAAACCAUAAAUUUUCUAACGUCAAGUUUAAACUUCCAACUAUAGGUUCGAUACCAGAGUCAUUUGGAUCCUUUAAAGGAGUGAUGUAUGCUCUUUUCCUAUCUCACAACCAGCUGUCCGGUUCUAUUCCGAAAUCAUUAGAAAACCUGGACAUUAACCAGAUUGAUCUUUCCCGGAACAAGCUUGAAGGUGACGCGUCGAUGUUGUUUGGAGCCCAAAAGACUACACAUAACAUUGACCUAUCAAGAAACAUGUUCCAGUUCAAUAUCUCCAUGGUUAAAGUCUCUAAAACAGUUAAUUUCUUGCACUUGAAUCACAACGGGCUCACAGGGACUAUCCCGAUUCAAUGGACCCAACUUGAUCUUCAGAUUUUCAAUGUUAGCUAUAACAGACUGUGUGGACGCAUCCCCCAGGGAGGGGAACUUCAGAGAUUUGAUGCUUAUGCCUAUUUACACAACAAGUGUUUGUGUGGUGCACCUCUUCAGAGUUGCAAGUGAGGUUACCGAGUAAACUUACCACAAGUAUCAAUCAAGUCUAAGGACAACUGUAUUUUCCAUUGGCAGUGAAUAAUAAAACACAUGAAGCACAUUUGAUGAAUUCAUUACAUUUUCAAAACGUAUGUGAUUUAUUGGCUAGCAACGUUCGAGUAUGUUAGAAAGUCCAUAACAUUUUAAGAAAUAUUGAUACAAAUAUAUUCUUAUACAAUUUUAAAAGUAUAAAACAUAUAUAACUUUUUAUUUAUUGGAACCAAAGCUAAUGUUUCAUUAGGCUCAUCGACUCUAGUAUGUCACCACGUCAACAUAGCAAAACCAUUAAUUGGUGAAAAGUUGUUUCCAAUAUAAAAGAUAGCUAGUGACCAUGAACAAGACCCACUAACUCUUCAGAAAAUGCUCGAGGUAUCCACCGUUUGAAGAAUAACAUAGGGUAUGAUUGGUAACGUGGACAGCGGCAACUGGAGUAAAUUAAAGUAAAAAUUAAGUGGAAAGAUAUAUAUUGUUAUUUGUUUCAGCCGGUUUACUCUUGCUUUUGUAGGGUAGAAAAAAAAUGGAAACAGCAAAUAAAAGAUUCAUUUUCUACCGUAAAGGAGUGAAAAAGUAUUUUCACCUAUUUUAUCACGAUGGAUGAUUGGAUGUAAUUGAAUGAAACUGAGAGUAAAAUAUUUUACUCUUAAUUUUUUUAACGCUAAUGAUGUCAUCCAGUUACACUCAUAGUAAAAUAAUCCAAAACUAUCAUAUUUUCAUACUAUUUUUAGAUUUUAACUAAAAAAAAUUAAGAGAUGUCUCUUAAAUAAUAGAUAUAAAAGAAAUUUCUUAACGAUGAACUGUUGGUGAAUAGAGGUCAGAGCACUCAUAACAAAAAAAAACGCUCUCUAGGAAAGGACGAUAGCAAAGGUGAUUAGGGUUUCACCACCCUUUCGCCGCCUUGGUUUCGCCUCACGCGUAUCAACGAGAAACUUCUUCGUCUUCACUCUCCUCCUCUCCGUCCAUGGCGUCGCUGGUAGCAGGUCUAGCUUCCUUUCCACGCCCUCCCUCAGAUCCGCCAGAUUUGUGUUUUAAGUUUGCUCUCCGGUCAAAUCCUCCAGAUCCUCCGGUUCCUCCUGACCCUCCGCCUGAUAUUCUAUCAGUCAUGGGGUUUCUUCAGUUGUACAAUCUCUGGGCCACCGUUGGCUUUCCCCAUAAGUUCUCAGAUCCAAAGUUAUGCUUGACGAUUUCAGAUGGUGGGCUAGCCUCAGAUAAAGAUUUGUUCUUCCCGGAUGGAACAGUCUUUGUACUUACUCCCCUAUACCAAGUAAGCUCAGACUCUUUACCCUACGCUUCCGAGUGUGGUUGGAUUAUCAGUGUGUGGGUAGAGCUGGUCUUAUUGGAUCUGAGAUUUUCCGUUCUAGUUCCGACUGUUUCGGUUGCAUUUGGUUAUGCUAUUGUGGCCUUUGUUGGUACCUUUGUGGUCUGUGUAUGGUCCAUUACUGCAGUAUGCAGAUGUUGUCCCUUUACUGCAGUAUGCAGGUUUACUUCCACCUUUGCUCUAAUGGCUUUUGAAAUGACAUGGCAUUCUCUCCUCAUGUGGCAAUUUGGAGUGAAAGUUCUGAAGUUGUGUAUCCUUUCAGCAAAUCUGGUUUGUUUAGGCUCUCUUUGUCCUCCCUAUUCCUUUAAGGAGUGUUUCAUCCUCCCACAUCGAUCACUUGUUAUAAGUGAAAUUGUUAUAGGGAGCAUUGUGUUGAAGAUGGUUCUGUUUGUAGCAGAAGCGAAGAUGUCUAUCGUCUCUCGUUUUGAUGGUGUUAACUGUCUGACCUCAUUGACCAUGGAGGCUUUUAUCCCUCCCCUUUAUUGUUUCGAUCAGGAAUGUCAAUUUGAAGAAGUCUUCUGGUCUGACUUGCCUUUCUCGGAGAAAACGGUGGUUGAACGUGUGAUAUCACCUUUAUCAAGUCUUUGCUUGAGUACUUGUUGUUUAAGCUUUACCAUUUGCCUGUCCAGUAUAUUGGUCUGUGCUUUAGUUUCUUUGGCUCUUUGUAGCCUUGUUGUAUCCUCCACUAGUGGAGUUAAACUCUUUUAAGUUUUAAUGGAAGUAAGUUUGAUCAAAAAAAAAAAAAAAAAUUUCUUAACUAAUUUCUUAACUUUUUUUAGUUAAAAGCUAAAAUACUAUAUUUUAUAUUAUGAUAAGAAUUUUAACCUAAGAAACAUACAAUAAACAUGCUCUAAUAGUAACAACUAACUCUUAAGUUCGGACAUUGUUUUCAAACUUCCGGUUUAGUAAUCCAGUCAAUUGAACCUGACCGGAAAUUGGUCCAUGGGUUCACGCACCACCUGUUUAACCCAUCAAAAUACUUUAUUUUAAAGACCAACAACCGAACUUAUUUAACACGUGGUCUAGUCAGCAAUAUUAAUAACAACAAAAACAGUACCCUACCAUGUUUCUAAUUGGUUGCGUAUAUAUCAUCACGGGUUUCCACUUAAGCUCAAACACAAACACAACACACUAUGGAGGGUAAGACAACGACACUGCUCUUGCUCUUGUUCACUCUCCUCCUCACGACAUCUUUAUCCAAAGAUCUCUGUCACAAAGAUGACAAAAACACCCUCCUCAAGAUCAAGAAAGCCAUGAACGACCCUUACACCAUCAUCUCCUGGGACCCCAAGGACGAUUGCUGCACCUGGUACGCCGUUGAGUGCGGCAACGCAUCUAUUAACCACCGCGUCACUUCUCUAGACAUAUCAAACGACGACGUCUCCGCUCAGAUCCCACCCGAAGUCGGCGACUUGCCUUAUCUAGAAUAUCUCAUAUUCCACAAACUCCCUAACCUCACCGGUGAAAUCCCACCCACCAUCACCAAGCUCAAGUAUCUCCGUUAUCUCUGGCUCAGCUGGAACAACCUGAGCGGCCCGGUUCCUGAAUUACUGAGUCAGCUCAAGAAUCUAGAGUACAUUAACCUUUCCUUCAAUAAGCUCU
Molecule: long non-coding RNA, 11111 nt
Filed under: Brassica rapa (field mustard)
Lineage: Eukaryota; Viridiplantae; Streptophyta; Magnoliopsida; Brassicales; Brassicaceae
Description: long non-coding RNA (BRAP_LNC001691)
Source: RNAcentral